This 255-nucleotide ribosomal RNA is filed under the name uncultured bacterium. RNAcentral's name for it is "partial 16S ribosomal RNA". It matches the Rfam family "Bacterial small subunit ribosomal RNA", at positions 338 to 585 of the family's 1533-position model. The record is from RNAcentral.
CCUACGGGACGCAGCAGUAGGGAAUCUUCCACAAUGGACGAAAGUCUGAUGGAGCAACGCCGCGUGAGUAAAGAAGGGUUUCGGCUCGUAAAGCUCUGUUGGUAGUGAAGAAAGAUAGAGGUAGUAACUUGCCUUUAUUUUACGGUAAUUAUUUAGAAAGUCACGGCUAACUACGUGCCCGCAGCCGCGGUAAUACGUAGGUGGCAAGCGUUGUCCGGAUUUAUCGGGCGUAAAGCGAGUGCAGGCGGUUCUAUA